CCUACGGGAGGCUGCAGUGGGGGAUAUUGCACAAUGGGGGAAACACUGAUGCAGCGACGCCGCGUGUGGGAAGACGGUCCUCUGGAUUGUAAACCACUGUCCCCAGGGACGAAGAUGACGGUACCUGGGGAGGAAGCUCCGGCUAACUACGUGCCAGCAGCCGCGGUAAUACGUAGGGAGCGAGCGUUGUCCGGAAUUACUGGGUGUAAAGGGAGCGUAGGCGGGACUGCAAGUUGGGUGUCAAAUCUACGGGCUCAACCGGUAGCCGCACUCAAAACUGCAGUUCUUGAGUGAAGUAGAGGUAGGCGGAAUUCCUAGUGUAGCGGUGAAAUGCGUAGAUAUUAGGAGGAACACCAGUGGCGAAGGCAGCAUGCUGGGCUUUUACUGACGCUGAGGCUCGAAAGUGUGGGGAGCGAACAGGAUUAGAUACCCGGGUAGUC
This 440-nucleotide ribosomal RNA is filed under the name uncultured bacterium. RNAcentral's name for it is "partial 16S ribosomal RNA". It matches the Rfam family "Bacterial small subunit ribosomal RNA", at positions 338 to 795 of the family's 1533-position model. The record is from RNAcentral.